AUUGAACGCUGGCGGCAGGCCUAACACAUGCAAGUCGAACGGUAACAGGAAGCAGCUUGCUGCUUCGCUGACGAGUGGCGGACGGGUGAGUAAUGUCUGGGAAACUGCCUGAUGGAGGGGGAUAACUACUGGAAACGGUAGCUAAUACCGCAUAACGUCGCAAGACCAAAGAGGGGGACCUUAGGGCCUCUUGCCAUCGGAUGUGCCCAGAUGGGAUUAGCUAGUAGGUGGGGUAACGGCUCACCUAGGCGACGAUCCCUAGCUGGUCUGAGAGGAUGCCCAGCCACACUGAAACUGAGACACGGUCCAGACUCCUACGGGAGGCAGCAGUGGGGAAUAUGGCACAAUGGGCGCAAGCCUGAUGCAGCCAUGCCGCGUGUAUGAAGAAGGCCUUCGGGUUGUAAAGUACUUUCAGCGGGGAGGAAGGGAGUAAAGUUAAUACCUUUGCUCAUUGACGUUACCCGCAGAAGAAGCGCCGGCUAACUCCG
RNAcentral lists this ribosomal RNA (488 nucleotides) under uncultured bacterium. RNAcentral's name for it is "partial 16S ribosomal RNA". It matches the Rfam family "Bacterial small subunit ribosomal RNA", at positions 30 to 505 of the family's 1533-position model. The record is from RNAcentral.